RNAcentral lists this ribosomal RNA (253 nucleotides) under uncultured prokaryote. RNAcentral describes it as "partial 16S ribosomal RNA". It matches the Rfam family "Bacterial small subunit ribosomal RNA", at positions 524 to 776 of the family's 1533-position model. The record is from RNAcentral.
CACGGGGGGAGCAAGCGUUGUUCGGAAUCACUGGGCGUAAAGGGCGUGUAGGCGGUUCGGUAAGUGGAAUGUGAAAUGCUCCGGCUCACCCGGAGUACUGCAUCCCAAACUGCCGAGCUUGAGUAUGGGAGAGGAUGAGGGAAUUCCUGGUGUAGCGGUGAAAUGCGUAGAUAUCAGGAGGAACGCCGGUGGCGAAGGCGAGUCUCCGGACAUUUCCUGACGCUGAGGCACGAAAGCCAGGGGAGCAAACGGG